CACAGAAUUAUAAACAAACUAGACUCACUCACUCAGAAUCAAAACACGAAUAACGAAGUUGGAGUUGCUGUGUGGAACUUCGUCGUCCCUUACGAACAAGCAAGGUGAAAUGAUGAAGCAAGGGAUUCGACGGCUGAUUCAGGCUGUGAGGCCUUUUGCAAGCCUUUGUCCACGAAACUCCAAGGAGACAACACCUGAAAUACCAAAGGGUGUAAAGCUAGAUAGACAAAGGGUUGGCAGUUUAUGCAUCAGCUUUGCAUUUGGCGUCGGAGUCGGAUUUGGCGCUGACAGCAUUGCCACAGGGGCUCACUGGAGCUCUGGCGUUGACCCAACUGACGGCAGGGACGACAACCAGCAAUAAACCAUAGUCCAAGGACUAACUCCCAUCUCUUAUAUAAUAAUAAUUAAAAAAUUCAGUUCUUAUGGGGAGUAAUGAUUCAUACACACCUUACUUUU
Molecule: long non-coding RNA, 456 nt
Organism: Lotus japonicus
Lineage: Eukaryota; Viridiplantae; Streptophyta; Magnoliopsida; Fabales; Fabaceae
Exons: 2
Source: RefSeq, a predicted model, not a curated record